UUAAAUACACUGAUGAGGAUUAGUAGAAUGUUUCGGAGCGCCUAGAGAGCUGUUGGUUGGUGGAAAACAGUGGCCAAGAUGGAUUCGAACUCACCUCGGAGUAGCUCGCUGAAAUGAUGAAGAGUAGGUAGAGCCGGAGCCUAACCGUUACAGUAGGAGGAUAUAAGGUCGCAAAGCGCGUAAACAACGACUGACGAGCUUUCUUGAUCCGUAUCUGUUGAGUGCAGGCCGUGAGGCUUGAAUGAGAGUGGUACCACGUAAGAUGUUAAGUCUUUCGUCUCUAAG
This 285-nucleotide non-coding RNA is filed under the name Desulfitobacterium dichloroeliminans. RNAcentral describes it as "T-box sequence". It matches the Rfam family "T-box leader". Rfam says of the family: Uncharged tRNA acts as the effector for transcription antitermination of genes in the T-box leader family. T-boxes are found upstream of many aminoacyl-tRNA synthetase genes and some amino acid biosynthetic genes usually in Gram-positive bacteria. The record is from RNAcentral. Lineage: Bacteria; Bacillati; Bacillota; Clostridia; Eubacteriales; Desulfitobacteriaceae.